GACGAACGCUGGCGGCGUGCUUAACACAUGCAAGUCGAACGGAAAGGCCCUGCUUUUGUGGGGUGCUCGAGUGGCGAACGGGUGAGUAACACGUGAGUAACCUGCCCUUGACUUUGGGAUAACUUCAGGAAACUGGGGCUAAUACCGGAUAGGAGCUCCUGCUGCAUGGUGGGGGUUGGAAAGUUUCGGCGGUGGGGGAUGGACUCGCGGCUUAUCAGCUUGUUGGUGGGGUAGUGGCUUACCAAGGCUUUGACGGGUAGCCGGCCUGAGAGGGUGACCGGCGAGAUUGGGACUGAGAUACGGCCCAGACUGGUACGGGAGGCAGCAGUGGGAAAUGUUGCGAAAUGGGCGGGAGCCUGCUGCGGCAGCGCGGCGGGGGGGAUGACGGGCGUCGGGUUGUAAGCCGCUGUCGCGUGUGACGCAGCGUGAGUGACGGUAAUGGGUGAAGAAGCGCGGGCUAUAUACGUG
This 468-nucleotide ribosomal RNA is filed under the name uncultured bacterium. Its description in RNAcentral is "partial 16S ribosomal RNA". It matches the Rfam family "Bacterial small subunit ribosomal RNA", at positions 28 to 507 of the family's 1533-position model. The record is from RNAcentral.